RNAcentral lists this long non-coding RNA (1963 nucleotides) under Sus scrofa (pig). Its description in RNAcentral is "lncRNA (ENSSSCG00055015295.1)". Lineage: Eukaryota; Metazoa; Chordata; Mammalia; Artiodactyla; Suidae. The record is from RNAcentral.
GAACAGCCUGAGGAUGGUGAGAGGUAGCAAGAUGGUGCCACUAUUCCAGGUCCUUGGGCUCAUGUUCCUCUGUCUUCCAGGUCUCCAGGCACAGCCAUCCAGCUCAGAGACUUUUAAUUGCAUCUUGAUGGGGAGCAAGCUCAACACAGUUGGUCAAGAAGAUGAUGUCCAUGCCCUAAGUCCUAUGUCCUCUGCUGCUCUGUGUUCUAGGUGAGUGAAAUUGUUCAAAAUCACAGAAAUACAAUGAAUGCUUCCUCCAAUAUUAGUUGCAUUUCAUUGGAAAUGUGUUUUUGAGCUGUGAUAUGCACUAAAUGCCACAUUAUUUAAUUCUCCAUCUCUCAUGCUACAGAGAUGAGCUUUUCUGUUUCAUUUUUCUUUCUAAACAAGCUGUAUAACACUAGAGGUCCAGUCUCUGUCUGUGAGUGCAGAUUCCUCUUACUCAUACUCCAUAAUUACAUGCUCUGAGACUAGAGAGCAUCUCAAUUAGACUCUCACUUAGUCUCAAUCUGCAGACCUGGAACCAGCCUCCCGUGCAUUGAUGAGAGAGACCAUCUAGCCUCUCUUGAACUUGAAACAAAAGUCAAAGACUGGACAUAAAGAAAGAGCCCAACUCAUGUGUAAUCCUCAAUACAAAACUUAUAUUAGAGAUUUGUAUCAGAAUUUCACCUGGCCACAUGUAGGUGUAAUCUAACCAGAGAAGCCUAAAAACUUCCAAAACCUGAAGAAGGGAACAGAUAUCCAGGUAGAGAAAGAACAGAGGGUUCCAAUCAAGAGAAACCAAACAGAGCCUCAUGAAGACAUAUCAUAAUUAAAAUAGCAAAAGUUAAAAAAUAAAGAGAGGAUUCUUUUUUUUUCCCACUGUUCAGCAAGGGGGUCAGGUUAUCCUUACAUGUAUACAUUACAAUCACAUUUUUCCCCCACCCUUUCUUCUGUUGCAACAUGAGUAUCUAGACAAAGUUAAAGAGAGGAUUCUAAAAGCAGCAAUAGAAAAUUAAAGAGUCAGUUACCAGGGAACACCCAGAAGGCUAUCAGCUGGUUUCUCUGCAGAAACUUUGCAAGCCAGAAGGGAGUAGCCUGAUACACUCAAAGUCCUGAAAGGGAAAAACCUGCAACCAAGGAUACUCUACCCAGAAAGACUAUCAUUUAGAAUGGAAGGAGGGAUAAAGAAUUUCACAGACAACCAAAAACUGAAGAAAAUACAGCAAUGCUAAAACCACCCUGAAAGAAAUCUUGAAAGGUCUUCUCUAAAUAGAAAUGAAGCAAGAUUCUAUAUGGAAGGAAAAAUCAUAAUAGGAAAGGCAAAUAUAUAAAAGGAUUGGUGACUACUUAAGUAAGCCAGCAAAUAGAUUAAAAACAAUCAAUACUUUUUGUAGAAGCAAUUAUAGCUAAAAUUAACAGCAAAAGGACAUCAAAAUCACAAAGCAUAGGGGAGAGGAGUAUAAAAAUGUAGGUCUUUUAGAAUGUGUUUGAGCUUGUAUGACUAUUAGUCUAAAUCAGAUAGCUAUAAUUAUGGGUCAACAUACUUGAAAACCAGGUUAACCACAAAUCAAAAACAUAUGAUAGGAGGUCCUGUCGUGGUACAGUGGAAACAAAUCCAACUAGGAACCAUGAGGUUGUGGGUUAAAUCCCUAGCUCCGCUCAGUGGGUUGAGGAUCCGGCCACCAGAUCCUGCUGUGAGCUGUGGUGUAGGUCACGGACGUGGCUCGGAUCUGGUGUUGCUGUGGCUGUGGUGUAGGCCAGUGGCUACAGCCGGAUUAGACCCUAGCCUGGGAACCUCCAUAUGUCGCGGGUGCGGCCCUCAAAAAGACAAAAAUAUGAAGUAAAAUAACAAAAACAUACAAUAGAGUCACAAAAACAAAGGAACAUUUUAGGAAUGUUCCUAAAAAGAAAGGAAUGAAAGCAUAAUACAAAAGAAUACCAUCAAAUCAUAAAGAGAAAAACAAAAAGAAGAAAUAAAAAAAAA